This 900-nucleotide small RNA is filed under the name Pongo abelii (Sumatran orangutan). RNAcentral describes it as "retained intron". The record is from RNAcentral. Lineage: Eukaryota; Metazoa; Chordata; Mammalia; Primates; Hominidae.
CUCUUCGCUACUCCGUAGUGACGGAGAUUGUUGUGUUGCAAAAAUCCGGCCGUCGACCUGAGGACUUGCGUGCAGCUCAGCUCCCGGGACGUUUGGAGCUGCUGCUAAAUAAUUUCUGCUCAGCCAUGUCGCCGGCUCCAGAUGCAGCCCCGGCUCCUGCGUCGAUCUCCCUGUUUGACCUCAGCGCGGAUGCUCCGGUCCUUCAGGGCCUGAGCCUGAGGGAACAUUAUAAGCUUGACUGGCAUCGGUUUAACCUAAAGCAACGUCUCAAGGACAAGCCUCUCCUGUCUGCCCUGGACUUUGAAAAGCAGAGCUCCACAGGAGAUCUUUCCAGCAUCUCAGGAUCAGAAGACUCAGACUCAGCCAGUGAGGAGGACUUGCAGACACUGGAUCGGGAGAGGGCUACAUUUGAGAAGUUUAGCCGACCCCAAGGCUUUUACCCUCAUCGAGUUCUUUUCCAGAAUGCCCAGGGCCAGUUUCUUUAUGCCUACCGCUGUGUCCUAGGCCCUCAUCAGGAUCCCCCAGAAGAGGCAAAACUGCUGCUACAGAAUCUGCAAAGCAGAGGUCCCAGAGACUGCGUGGUGCUCAUGGCUGCAGCUGGGCACUUUGCUGGUGCUAUAUUUCAAGGGUGAGAGGGUGCUGCAUGGGGGUAAGGAUGGAGUGGAUCCUGUUAGCCAGGGAGCACCAGCUGGUCUCCAGUACUGAGUCUGUGCUGUCUACAGAAGAGAAGUGGUGACACACAAAACUUUUCACCGCUAUACGGUGCGAGCCAAGCGGGGCACAGCCCAGGGGCUUCGGGAUGCCCGAGGUGGGCCAUCACGCUCUGCUGGAGCCAACCUGAGGCGCUACAAUGAAGCCACACUAUAUAAGGUGAGUUAAGCCUUUUAGAUCUGGUGGUAC